UCCCUGGUGGUCCAGUAAUUAAGACUCUGCACUUCGAAUGCAAACAGCAUAGGCUUGAUCCCUGGUCAGGGAA
Molecule: transfer RNA, 73 nt
Filed under: Bos indicus x Bos taurus (hybrid cattle)
Lineage: Eukaryota; Metazoa; Chordata; Mammalia; Artiodactyla; Bovidae
Rfam family: tRNA
About the family: Transfer RNA (tRNA) molecules are approximately 80 nucleotides in length. Their secondary structure includes four short double-helical elements and three loops (D, anti-codon, and T loops).
Source: Rfam by way of RNAcentral